GAUGAAGAACGUAGCGAAAUGCGAUACGUAAUGUGAAUUGCAAAUUCAGUGAAUCAUCGAGUCUUUGAACGCACAUUGCGCCCCCUGGUAUUCCGAGGGGCAUGCCUGUCCGAGCGUCAUUGCUGCCCUCAAGCACGGCUUGUGUGUUGGGCCCCGUCCUCCGAUCCCGGGGGACGGGCCCGAAAGGCAGCGGCGGCACCGCGUCCGGUCCUCGAGCGUAUGGGGCUUUGUCACCCGCUCUGUAGGCCCGGCCGGCGCUUGCCGAUCAACCCAAAUUUUUAUCCAGGUUGACCUCGGAUCAGGUAGGGAUACCCGCUGAACUUAAGCAUAUCAAUAAGCGGAGGA
RNAcentral lists this unclassified non-coding RNA (345 nucleotides) under soil metagenome. RNAcentral's name for it is "partial contains 5.8S ribosomal RNA, internal transcribed spacer 2, and large subunit ribosomal RNA". The stretch from base 1 to 119 matches the Rfam family "5.8S ribosomal RNA", at positions 35 to 154 of the family's 154-position model. The record is from RNAcentral.